Molecule: ribosomal RNA, 261 nt
Filed under: Triticum aestivum (bread wheat)
Lineage: Eukaryota; Viridiplantae; Streptophyta; Magnoliopsida; Poales; Poaceae
Description: partial small subunit ribosomal RNA
Source: RNAcentral
AUGUUGACCAUCAAGGUGGUGGGCCAGGAGAAGGUGGUCCACCACACCACGAGGAUGACCGACAAGCUCAAGGUCUUCAUGGACGUGUGGUACCACAAGGUGCCCAACGUGACAUAUGGCACCGGCGUCUUCCUCUACGACGGCUUGCGGGUGCGCAGAAAUAUGACCCCGGUGGGCCUUGAGAUGGAGGACGGGGACAUGCUUGAUUUCUUUGAACAUAUGGAUGGUGGAGCUGGACCAUUCAUUGUUGGAUCUAUGUAG